CCCGUGCCCGCAGUCCAGUUCAGAUCCACCGCCUCCAUCCCAAUCGAGCACAAUCCACCUCGCCUUUGACUGCUGCCUCCCUCCCCAUGGAGCGCCGUCCACCCCGCCGUUGACGGCCGCCUCCCUUCCCAUGAAGCGCUGUCCACCUCGCCGUUGAUGGCCGCCUCCCUCCCCAUGAAGCGCCAUCCACCCCGCCGCUGGCGGCCGCCUCCCUCCCCUUGAAGCGCCGUCCACCUCGCCGUCGACGGCCGCCUCCCUCCCCAUGAAGCGUCGUCCACCCCGCCGUUGACGGCCGCCUCCACCGCUCUAGACCGGCCACCUCUUCGCUGCGAGCCUAGGACGUCCAGAUCUGCCUACCUCGGCUCUGACUUCCAGAUCCUCCCCCAGAUCCGCCUGCGUGCAAAGGGGUGGUUCAUGAUCAUCCAUUCAGACCAAAAGCAUGUUGUUUAUUUGAGUUAUAGGUGAUGGUGCUAUAAGGAAAGCAGUGCUUGUUGCAAAAGCUAGGGAGAAGGAUGUAGGACAAUCACACUCUGUUGUACCAAGAUUUAUUGAGGAAAAAUGUUCAGUUGCAAAGGCACUGCAAAAAUGAUUCUCUUCUGACCAAACAUCUACAAUUGGUAUAUGUCAAGAUGGGAUAGGAAAUACCCAAGAGCUUCUUGCUUUUCAUGAUGAGCCAAUGGAUGGUAGUGAUCUGUGCUAGCCUAAAAAGCCGGACAUGGGGACAUGCUCAGACAUGCGUAUGCCGCCGUAUUUCGUGAUUACGAAUGAAAAAAAGAAUGCAUAGGGAGCAUGUCCUCCCAAUGGCAACCACACCAGACUAGGGGUGAAUGGAUCCUCCCAAGGCCAAGAGAAUGCUUGUACUCCGUUGACAAAUUCUUCUCAUCCUGAAGAUCUUGCUCAUGCUACACACCUGGAUGAGCGUGGUUCUACUCCAAAGAGGAUAAUCAUUCAGGAAUGCCACUAGCAUAAUUAGUGUUUAAUAUCGUGAAGUGCAGGUAGCCUUUUAUUUUUUCACUUGCUUCUCUUGGCAAUUCAUGUAAAUUCGUGGCAAAUCAUGUAAGUUGAGGUUCUAUGAAUCAUGAGUUGGAUAUGAAUAUGUGGAUCUUGUGAACAUUGAGCUUUCAAUAUAAUUGGUUCAUUGUG
Long non-coding RNA from Triticum dicoccoides, 1143 nucleotides. RefSeq lists it as uncharacterized. The record is from RefSeq and is a predicted model, not a curated record. The transcript is spliced from 6 exons. Lineage: Eukaryota; Viridiplantae; Streptophyta; Magnoliopsida; Poales; Poaceae.